CUUUGCAUGACACUGCCUGCCUGUUGUAGACCCGCCCGGGCCCUGCAGUCACUCCUCACACCUGCCCAGCACAGACCUUGAUUCCGCUCAGUCGCCUUUGGGGACUCACGCUUCAAGCGCAACCAAGCAGAAUGUCAACACACACACAGUGUACUUUCGGCAGCAUCACCAUUUUAGUCAGGUGGCUUGACCCUGGGACACACACCGCUGGCUUCAGGGACUGCAGAUUUGGAGGCAGAUGCCAGCAUGUUGUCCAGGCUGAGGCUUGAGGCUGCCACAAUGCUGGCUGGGCUGGGGUCUCCUUUCCUCUUCCACUCCAGCAGUGCGGGGAGCUGGCUGAGCCCCAGCAGCAUCGCCACGGGCUGGGGGUGAUGUGAGCACAGGCUGGUGUGAAGGUGGCUGCCAAAGCCUGGUCUCAGUUCCAUGCCCUCCUCAUGAGAUGGGCAUGGAGGGCUUCCAAGUGCCCUGGACAGGUUUCAUCCCGGGGUUGGGGAGUGACCUCCCACAAGUCUGGCCCCCUGUGCACCAUACUCCACAAAACAGGGCACAAGUGCUUCCUCCAGCGCUGCCCUGAGCCUCAGUUCCAUGCCAUCGCCUCUUCUGCCAGGGGUUGCUUGCAGCUCUUCUAAGGCAUGGAAGGAAGACAAGGUCUGUCCAGGUGAGGUAAGGAACCCCUUGCUGUCUGGUCUAUGUUCUUGUUUCAGUUUCUAAACAACCCCAAAAGGCAGGCAUGCGAGUUCUAGCUUAUAAAUAAGGAAACUGAGGCAGAUACCAUGCUUCCGCUGAAUGGAUAAAGGUGCUCGGGAGUCUGUGUCUCAUCAGCAGGCGUGAUUUUGUGUGGGGAACUCUGCAGACCCGCAACACUGACUGGUUGAGCAGACGUGGAGCCCCAUUCCACCCUGGCAGCUGCCUGGCCUGUGUGGUGCGCCUGUUCCCUGACAACAGCUGCCCUCCCAUGCGGCCGUGUCCUGCCCACCCUGCUCAGGACCAGCGGGGAGGGUGUUAGGCUUAGGUUCUGGCCACGUCAAAUGUCCUGAGCAAGAGUCUGUCACUGGUGAUCUUCCUGCUCUCAGAUCUAACUUCAUGCAGGGAACUUGGCUCUGAGGGCCAGGGCGCUGGGGUGGUUUUGGGCAAACUCACCUGGUAUCUCUGUGCUCUGGUUUCAUCCCCUGUGGAUGAGGGGAGGGGGGUGACUUCCUGAUACAGCUGUCUGGGAUGUGGCCAGGGCCCAGUGCCCGGCGGCAUCUGAACAACAGCCCUGGAGGUUGAGGUCCGUCAUUCGCCAUGCGUCUCAGAAGGCAGCUCCACACGGGGGAAGAGAAGAUGCCACCACGGGAGUUCACUCCUGGAGGAGUCACGUUUCUCCCUGAAUCUCUGGGACCUGCAAGAGGACAGGCACAGCCGUCAGCGGCUCAGCCCGACCCGCAAGAGGACAGGCAUGGCUGUCAGCGGCUCAGCCCACCGUGGCUCUCUGGGCAGCUCAUCAAGGCAAUCCUGCUUGGGCCGACAUGAUUUUAUAGAGGAGAAACUAAAAUGGGCUAUGAGGAACAGGGGAUCCGAGGCUUGCUGUUAGAUAAACCCGUCUCGUGACUAAACUUCCCGUGUCUAGCUGGUGAACAGUCUUCAUUCCUCAUUGAAAAGGAGGUAAAACAAUGGAUUAGCAUGUCAGCUGAGUUGUUUACAAUUGCGUGUGGACUUUGUUGGCCUUCCUGUCUUUAAGUGGCCUGCAUGGAGAUGGAGUCCCCAGGCACCUUUACAGAGAGCGCCUGGUGUCGGAAGCCAAACAGGAGAGUCGGGACCUGCCCACUGCUUCGUUCGGCCUUGAAGCCCUGCAGAUGCCAGAAGAAAACACACACUGGUGUGUUUCACUCACUCAUCUUGGAGGCCUCCAGAACCGACCUGAAUCACGCACAACACGGUGAAUCCAAGCUGAAGCGGGCAGCUCCCCGCUACCCCCAGAGCACACGAGACUGGCUCCGCUGCCGGGUCUGGCCUGACACACCUGCCGAGCCGGCCUCUUGCUGCCUUUUUUAAUUUUGGAAGCCCAGGUGGAUUCCCACAUCCCCACAUUUACAUUUUCUUCUAAAAAUGGACCGCCGUAAUUAUAUGUUAAAUAUGAUUCAAAUCUGCAGGGAACUGUGACUCAAUAAGCAUGGAAAAAUUAAUGAAAAGCUUAAUUAUUAUAAUAAUACCAUUAAAAUCUAAUAAAGGAAGAAAAAACUGGAGUUCAUUUUAUUUUAGCUUGGGCAUCUAAUAUCAUUUUUCCCCCUUUAGCAGAACUAUAAUUAAAUUAGACUUGGGUUUUCAGAAAAGCUGAAUUAUCUGCAUUGGUGCUUAAAAAUAUUAGGGAGCAAGAGAGAGGAGCCUGGGAGACAGCGUGAGAUGGCCCAUGCGCAAUGCUCUCCCGUGGCAUCCAUCCUGAGGGCUGCCACUCUCAGUCAGUCCACCUUUCCCACCGCUUUUAAUGAUUGGUUCAUCUCCAGCAGCUCUGAUUCCUUCUUCGGCCUUUCACGUACAAAGUAUCCAGGUAUUUAAGGCUCAGGGUAUUAAUUCAAUUAACAAUAAUGUAAGAGCAGGCAGAUGCUCCCCAGCAAAGAAAGUCUCCUCUUUUCACUCUUGGCCUCAUAUGAACUCACAAGAGACCCCACUGUAAGCUCCACCACCAACAUUAGCUACUUGAUUUUCAAAUGAAAGGAAUAUGUUUUUAUUCAUCAAAUGGUUUUGAUGAAAACUAAACAGGAUCCUUCCCUCACAGCUUGGAUGCCAGGCACGGAGGUAGGAGUGCCAAUCUUUGCCACAGGAUGAACUUAGUAGGAGACUGUGUUUUGUUAAUAGAUAAUAAUUGCCUUCUACUGCUAAUUUAUCUUGAAGAGCAUGUGUGUUCCCCUCUGCGUCCCCCUCUCCGUGUGUGGGUGUAAGAG
This 2921-nucleotide long non-coding RNA is filed under the name Homo sapiens (human). Its description in RNAcentral is "HSALNT0083390". Lineage: Eukaryota; Metazoa; Chordata; Mammalia; Primates; Hominidae. The record is from RNAcentral.